RNAcentral lists this ribosomal RNA (300 nucleotides) under uncultured Flavobacteriaceae bacterium. Its description in RNAcentral is "bacterial SSU rRNA". It matches the Rfam family "Bacterial small subunit ribosomal RNA", at positions 114 to 416 of the family's 1533-position model. The record is from RNAcentral. Lineage: Bacteria; Pseudomonadati; Bacteroidota; Flavobacteriia; Flavobacteriales; Flavobacteriaceae.
CGCGUAUAGAAUCUACCUUACACUGAGGGAUAGCCUUUGGAAACGAAGAUUAAUACCUCAUAGUAUAUUGACUUGGCAUCAAGAUAAUAUUAAAGGUUACGGUGUAAGAUGACUAUGCGUUCUAUUAGCUAGAUGGUAAGGUAACGGCUUACCAUGGCAACGAUAGAUAGGGGCCCUGAGAGGGGGAUCCCCCACACUGGUACUGAGACACGGACCAGACUCCUACGGGAGGCAGCAGUGAGGAAUAUUGGACAAUGGAGGCAACUCUGAUCCAGCCAUGCCGCGUGCAGGAAGACUGCC